Molecule: RNase P RNA, 356 nt
Filed under: Oscillospiraceae bacterium
Lineage: Bacteria; Bacillati; Bacillota; Clostridia; Eubacteriales; Oscillospiraceae
Description: RNase P RNA component class A
Rfam family: Bacterial RNase P class A
About the family: Ribonuclease P (RNase P) is a ubiquitous endoribonuclease, found in archaea, bacteria and eukarya as well as chloroplasts and mitochondria. Its best characterised activity is the generation of mature 5'-ends of tRNAs by cleaving the 5'-leader elements of precursor-tRNAs.
Source: RNAcentral
CAAGUAAGUCAGACAGCUGCGGGGGGUAUACCGAAAGGUUCCCUCUGAGGAAAGUCCGGGCUCCACAGGGCAAGGAUAACGGGUAACGCCCGCCGAAGGCGACUUCAGGACAAGUGCAACAGAGAUAUACCGCCCCGCGCGAAAUCGAGGGGUAAGGGUGGAAAGGCGAGGUAAGAGCUCACCCGGAGACAUGGUGACACGUUUCCGCUGUAAACUCUAUCCGGAGCAACACCGUGAAAGGGGAGCAUACGGCUUGCCCGGCCGCUCCCUAGAGGUGGCAUGAGCCGUCCGGCAACAGACGGCCAAGAUAGAUGGCUGUCCAACGACAGAAUCCGGCUUACCGAUUUACUUGCGUU